Long non-coding RNA from Nyctereutes procyonoides (raccoon dog), 5328 nucleotides. RefSeq lists it as uncharacterized. The record is from RefSeq and is a predicted model, not a curated record. The transcript has 4 exons. NCBI's taxonomy places the organism in Eukaryota, Metazoa, Chordata, Mammalia, Carnivora, Canidae.
GCAGAGAGGGAAUCAAUUCCAAGUUCUCGUCUCCUAGUCUAAUAUUCCUUCCACAAUUUAAGCAUUUCCCAAACUGAAUUUCAGAGAAUGCUCUUGUCCCCAAAACUGAUAAGAGGUUUUUCGUUAAAAGGGGUUCUGUGCUCCUCUGAUGUCACCUAUCAUGUCGGCUCUUGGAGAUUGAAAAUGAAUAGUAAUAUGUUGAAGUUUUCGAGAAGUCCUGUAGUUUAAGAUUUCAGCCUGUCUAGUCUGAUGUUUCCAAAACUGAGCUAAUCAUGUAAUCAUUUUUAAGAAACCCCUAUUAACACCACAUGGGACAUGGGCAUUCUGAGGGUUACACAGUCUAGGAAACAAUGGGGAGGGUCUGAGUUGCGUUUCUUCUAAAAAGAGAGGCAAAGAGCUGAGCAGAAACGUGAGCAUAACAUGGUCUCCCUUUCUGUGGAGGAAAAUGUGAAGCAGGUGUUGAUGAAAAGCAAGUGGGAAUAUCCCAGGAGGUAGAGAUGACUACUCCAGAGGCUUAAUGGAAGGAGAUGGUUAGGGCUCAGAAACCAAGUUCCCCCAAUGGUGGAAAAGGAGAGAAAAGGUGUUACUACUACUAGCUACCACUACUAUUAUAACAAAAUGCCAGGAAAGGGGAUUUUGAGUCAUUUAGUCAGAGGUAAAAGCGCCAGCAUUCUCCACAGCAAGAGCCAGCAAGCCCCCAUCAUGAGAAAAGAGAGCCUCAUACAUAGUAGGCAUUCAACAAAUAUUUGUUGAAUGAAUGAGUCCGUGAAGCAAGCUGAUUUGCCUCAAGCAAUGGAGAGAGCCUAAGCCAAGUGAAUUUGAAGUUACGGAUCGUCUUCUGCACCUCCAGGGAGGAUUAAUUUUCUAUGGAAAGAAAAGUAGGAACAUAUGACCAGGGAAGCCCCAUAAGCACCGGCUCUCUUAUUUCCAUAGGGUCUGAGGGAUUUUUCCGGGCAAAGCCCAGCAAUAGAACUGAGUAUAGUUGUGGAGGGAAUGAGUCAGGUUGAGCUGUUUGUUUGUUCUCCAGGGCAGGGCAUUGCAAGAGUCAAUAAACACACUGGAGCCUCUUUGACUGGGCCUUGGAGCAAGAGAUCAGCUUGUUUGUUCUAGAGAAUUUGAACUUGGGUCAAAAUGGCUCUCAGGGCCUCCCUUCCCUGAGGUGGAGACCUCCAGGCUGCAGCUGAGGUCAUGCACUGGGCAGCCAGGUGCACCACCUAACCAUGCGUUCCACAGGGGACGUUCCUUUCACCAAGCUAUUUUUUUUCCUUCACGACAUGCCAUGGCCACACCAACCUGCCACCUACUAGUUGUGCAGACGUCUUACUAUUGAACACAGGCCACAGAAUUGUUAACAGCCUCAGACUAGGGCCCUGGCAUAGGCAAGCGGGAGCACAAAGUUGGAGUCCCAGGACUGGAAAGCACCUUCUCAAUGACACGUCAAACGCCUUCCUGUCUCUAGCACAGCCACCCACCUUAGAGUCAGUCUCGUCUCCCUCUUUCCUCUUCCCAAAUACAGAAGAGAUUGAACUUUCUCAGAUGGUCCAAUCCCAGCUGUCAUGAGGCCGCAGCAGAAGAUCCCCCCGUGUGCUCCGGGCCUCGCCGUGGGGAAGCUCCUGAUCCGCGCUGGUUGGCGGAAGAGACCAGGAGUAUCUACAAACUUCCCCCCAAAAUGCUUACUAAGCAACAAAGCAGCAAGUACAAACCAACAAUCGGGCUGAAACGAGGAAGAGCCGAGAAGCCCUAAAAGACGAAGAGGCUGGCUGGGGAAGGGUUCCUGGAAGAGGGGGUACAGGCCGCAGCUGGGCUGGAGGAGAAAGGGGCAGAGGGAGAGAAAGUGAAGGCCUUCCAGCCUGAGGAGGGGACGGGGGAGGGACAUUUCCAAGGCCAGAAAGGGCGCAGCAUGGACAGGAGACCCGGAAUAGAGAGGAACACAAAGGAACCGAGUAGAAGGAGACCCCAGGGCAGCCUUGCAAGUAAAGCCAGAGUCUGAAGUGACAGGUAAGUAAGUUGUCGGGGGACAGUAUCGAAGAUCUUUGGGGUGUGAGUCAAAAGACAUGCGUUCUGUCCUGGAUCUGCUACCGUCUCAGGUACCACAGGCCUUGGUCUUCCCAUCUGUAACAUCAGGCCAUUGGCCCAGAGGACCUAGAGGGUGGGUCCCUUGACCCACCCAGAAAACUCUGGCUCGACGCUCAGCGACGGGAGGCAGCAAGGACCGCGUGGCCGUUCCUCCACAAAUCCAUUUAAUAUUUUCCCCUUAUACAAGACAAGUCUAAGUUCCCUUUAUCCCUGCGACUGAAUUACAACUUGAGCAUAUUUACUACGUCAAAGAUUAAUCCUCUAAACCCGGCAAGCUCGCUGGUUGAGCUGCAAGGAAAUAUCUCUAUAAAAAGAAUAGACUCUAUAAAUUAUUGGUCACUUACCUAGGGUUGUUACUAAAUUAUUUUAAAAGGAUAUAUAUUCUGCUCCUACACUCUCACUUCUGUCUCUCUCAGACUAAUUGCUUCCUGAACUAGGAAGGGUGUCCAGGCAGAGACCUAGGAAGUUUGAUAUAUUCCGGAUCCUUCAACUGCUGGGAUUCCAGAUGAUAAAUAAACUGCACAGUGGAAUUUGAAUCAACCUAUUCACAGACUAGAAGGGAGCAAGGGGACUGCUGGCUUGUUCAUCUUCGAAUAUGACCCGCGCCUGUGACUAGCACCUACCCAGUACUUGUGUAUACACUGGUCAGUGCAUGAAUGUGUAGAUUAAGAAUGGUAAUCUAACUAAAAGGACUUGAUAGUGUCUAGCCUUAGUCUUAUGCGACAACAACCACUCACCCCCUUCUGCCUCCUGGGCCAGUAAAUGACACCCCUUGCAUCUGAGUUAGAUGUCUAUCCUUCACCCCCUGCCCCAUGUACACCUGCCUCACAGCUCUGAUCAUGCUGUACUAUAAAUGCUGGUUUACUUGUCUAUCUCCCCACCAACCUCAAGCACCUAAAAGGCAGAGAGUUUGUCUUACUCAUUUUUGCCUCCCUUGUCCAGAAUGGUAGAGAUCACAAAUAAGGCAUUUUGUUGAAUGAAUCCAACCAAGAAGCACACUAACUUAUCUUUCCAGUGUUAUGACCAAAGAAAGAAUCUUUUAGGAGGAUGUCAAAGGUCAAUCCCUAUAACAAAAGAUACACCCAUAACAUUAUGUCUACUUGACCAAAGGAGAGGCUUGCAGAAGCAAUCAUACGGAUAUUCUUUUUUUAAAAAGAUUUUAUUUAUUUAUUUAUUUAUUUAUUUAUUUAUUUAUUUAUUCAUGAGAGACCCAGAGAGAGAGGCAGAAACACAGGCAGAGGGAGAAACAGGCUCCAUGCAGGGAGCCCGAUGUAGGACUCGAUCCCCAGACCCUGGAUCCCGUUGAGCCAAAGGCAGGAACUCAGCCGCUGAGCCACCCAGGCAUCCCUCACGUGAAUAUUCUAAUUCUCCAACAUGUUUCAGAAAAACAAACAUAGUCUACACCGGACAAAUUAUCUCGAUAUUUAUUCACCUCUAGAACCUUCAGAGUCUCCGUUGCACUCUGAGGGGUGUGGAAUGGAACAGAAAGUGCAAGCACAGGCUCUGUCGUCAGGGACACCCAGACUGAAACACAUCAGCGAGGAUGAACAGAAGGAAGCUGAAAGACAUUAAUUCUGUACAAUUAACCAAAGAAAGGCGUCAGACAAGGGCUCCUAACAGCAGCAGCUUCCAGCUCUCCCAGAGGGAGCCCCAUCAACUUCUCAGCAAGGCAAUGCUCCCUCCAGUCUACACCUAAUCUCUCGGCUGAAAGUCCAGUUGCUGCUGCUCUGGCCUCAGGAAAGGCUAGUAUUCUCCUGUUCUUGAGUUUCAACACCUGAAAUCCCCACCCCCACACCGCCCAUCAGCAUUCUCUCUCUUCCCUACUUCCUCUAUCUUCCCCCUCCAUUCUGGACCUUUCUCUUCAUUGUAUUAAACAUGACUUUCUUAUUUAUACCCUUUUAUCAAAGCCAUGUGACUUUUUAAAAGACUUUUCUAGAAUCCUUAAUCAUUGCAAUGAGUAUCACUUAAUUCAGAGUCGAUGAAACAUAUUAUUCGAACAAUCGUCAUUUUUGGCGGCAAACGAUGCAGAGAUGGAAGCCAAACCCCAAGCACCUGUGACUUGGAGGGAGGCUCCCAUGCACCAACCACUGCCCUCUCCUUUCAGUCCUGGAGACUGAAAGUCAAAUGAGGUGGUCAUCCUCCAUCCCCAAGUCCCAAAUGCUCCUCCAAUCCCUCUUGAGAUACAGACGCUGGAAAGAAGGAUUUGGUGUCUGUUGCUCUACACUCCUCAAAACCACAUCACCUCCUCAGGAACGAGCAUUUCAGAGUUUCCUGAGCUUUCUCGGUGCUACCUGUCCAGCUACAAAGGGAAGAUGGCAGAUGGUUAAAGGAACCUUGCACAUACCCCAUCAGAAUCCAAGGCAGAUAAAACAAGGUAAUUUGCCGUUCCUCUGAGAGCCUGGUGCUCCCAUGAGGGACAAAGGAAGCUGGAUGUCCUGAUCAUCUAGAGUAAUUGCCGCCGCCACCACCCUGACAAUAAUAACCCCCCCAACCACUGACAGCCCUUUUCAUCUGAAGGAUCUCAAAGCACUUAGCCGCCAGGUGCUCAUUAAGGCCUCUUGGAUGAGGUUGGCUUGAUGGGUCUGAGGCCUUGCUACAGACGGUCAGGGUCAGGGGGUGACUCAGAGAACUUAGGGAGCCAAAUAUUGCAGAGGAGGGGGGCCCAUCAGCUUCCUACACGUGGGAAAAUGAGCCUCCUUGGCCCAGGUCUGGUGCCGACUCCAGGGGAAUGAAAAGGAGGCUAGCUCCUCCCCCAGCAGUCUGCAAGCAGGGUCAUGCAGAAUUAAUCCAACACAGAGCUCAUCUACCCCAAUACCAGACAGGACUGUUUACUCCCCCAAGAACUGGUGGGAGGCAUGGGGGUGUAGCAACGAGGAAAACAUCUCUGAAAGGAGAAAUGCGGAAUAGCUGAAGAAACACUGCCUCAAUCAAGAGAGAGUCUAAGGAGGGUGGUUCUGGGAUACUCAAGUCUUAAGAGUGGCCCUGGAUGGCCAAACAGGGAAGGGCUUCAUUUUCCUAGGCCUCAAAAGAGGCAACAUCAGUUUUUCUACAGAAGUAGCCUAUGUACAAAGUCUGAAUGCAAACCCACAGUGUGUCCAUCAGAAUGUGAUUUCUGGGGAUCCCCGGGUGGCGCAGCGGUUUGGCGCCUGCCUUUGGCCCAGGGCGCGAUCCUGGAGACCUGGGAUAGAAUCCCACGUCGGGCUUCCGGUGCAUGGAGCCUCCUUCUCCCUCUGCCUGUGUCUCUGCCUCUCU